UUUUUUUUUUUAAUUUAAACAACGGCGUCGUUCGUGUUCUUGUCUCGUCUCUUUCUCUCUCUGUUUGAUCCUUGACCACAAACUCAGUAGAGCAGGAAAUAUAUUUUUAUGUGAGUUUGUGUAUCAUAGGUCUUAGUGAAUUAGUCUGGAAAGUUUGUUAUCUGCGAAUUUGAUCGGAAACCAUUGUUACAGAGAAACAGAGGAUCGGUGACGUGGCAAGUUUGUUAGAGUCGUUAGAAGCUGGAACGAAUAAUAAGAUGACGCUUGGCAGUAGCUGUUGAUGAUGAAACAGAGUAUAAAACUCAGUUUCUGCUGUUUGUUACAUUCUUUCGAAAAGUGUGUGUUUCUUCUUGAACCUUGAGUAAUUUCUGUGUAAUUCUCAGUUCAUUGUGUUUUUUUUUUGUUUUUGUUUUUAUUUUUGUGUUCAUUGUGUUUAGAUUCUUUCUUUCUUCAGUCCAGAAUCUAUACCUUGGAUAUUGUUUCAUGAACGGUAGUUUGAUAUCAUAGAGAGAAACAGAGUUUAUCUCUAUCAACCAUCAGGGAGAAAGUUCUGAAAACAUCAACCUUUAGCACUUUCACCGUUAAUGCAAUCUCUUUCUUUAGCUUCAAAGUUGAGGAGGCGUAAAAUGCAUCAUCAUCACCAAGAAGACUCUCAACAAUGUUCUGUAGAGGUGUCUUUCGAUGCAAAGCUUCCAAAUUUGUCUGAAAAGGGGCAAAGGAACAGCUUUUAGACUCUUCUGAUGAAGAAGACUCUCAGAACAAUGAAAGAACAUUGCCUUCAGGACGCGUAAGUGUUCCACAUGCUGUUGCGUGGACAACUGUUGCUGGUACUUGGGUGCUUGUUUCCGUGGGAUUAUUGUCUCAGUUAUAAGAGAGAUUGUGAAUCUAAUCCUUUUUUUUUCCUUUGGCGACAAAUAUGAUGGCUGCUGGACUUGCAUCUGCCAAUGACAUGUGAGGCUCAAUGUUGAUCCGAUCAUUCUAAGGAUGAGAGCUUUGCAAACACUUGGAUGUGCAGAGAUAAAAUAUAGAUUCUUCAGUUUUGCAUUGGUUUAUCGGAGGGAUGGAGAAUGCACCGUUCUCUGAGUGGUUGCAGUUUCAGAUGGUGAUUGUUUAAGAAGGAGACGGUCCUUUCAAUUGCUCCCGAGACUUGUAGUGAUUGUGAUUUACUCAAAAAAAGAUAUGAUAAACAGGAAUCGACUCCAGAGAUUGUUCGUAUGACAGAGUCAAGAUAUGUAAAUGUGGAGAUUGACAGAGUUGUCCAAAUAGAACAAGCACAUUCCUUCCAUAAACACAAGAAUGUGUUGCUAUGGAUUAUCGAUUCUACUCUAGCUUCGGAAUUGAGACAUUGGUUGUGUAAUGUUUCUGUUGUAGUAAUGAGAUAUAGAUAUAU
Molecule: long non-coding RNA, 1390 nt
Organism: Raphanus sativus (radish)
Lineage: Eukaryota; Viridiplantae; Streptophyta; Magnoliopsida; Brassicales; Brassicaceae
Exons: 3
Source: RefSeq, a predicted model, not a curated record